This 252-nucleotide long non-coding RNA is filed under the name Brassica rapa (field mustard). RNAcentral describes it as "long non-coding RNA (BRAP_LNC008276)". Lineage: Eukaryota; Viridiplantae; Streptophyta; Magnoliopsida; Brassicales; Brassicaceae. The record is from RNAcentral.
CGACCCAAAUCUUCAGAGAGCUUAAGUAUCCUUCCUUUGGAGUAGUUGGAAGCAUCAAUCAUAAUGAAAUCAUCAAAGUGGUUGGAAAGGUCGUGAUCAGCCUGAUCCGGGCAUGCGGUACGUCCCAAACGGGCCAGGAAAGACAGGCUAAGUCCGGAAUCUGAUUCUUCUCGAUGAUCAUGGGUUCUGGCUUGACUGUUGGCUCUAGAAUGAAGAAUGGGUCGGGGAAGAACGCCUGUGGGUUGGCUGAUU